CCCAAGCACACCUCGUCCCGGGGGCCUGUAGGAAUGUGCCCCUGCUGACAGACUGAACAAGUUCCCCUUUGUCUCCUUAAAAAGGAAAAAAGCCCAGAAGUUUCUCUCCUCAGUUUGGUUAAAAGACACCUCAUAGGACCUUGGGGACUUCACCUCAAAAUUAAGGAUAGUCAACUGGACAGGAGCAAAAAGUCCCACCUGAGCAAUUCACUAGAAAAAGAAGAGAACAAAAGAAGCAAAUCGCUUUUGUGAAGUGUUUUAGCAGGAGCAAGAGCCCCUUGCCCUGACUCUGUUUUUCUCUGUAAAGAGCUUUUUUAGUUUGCCUUUUAUUAAAACUUUUUGUUUCCAACACUGUCACAGGAGCCAUCCUGCUACUUUAUGCCACCUGAGGUAGCUGAGCUAUCAAGGGUAUAACACUUGUCUCUGAGAGCUUGUAAGACCUGGAUUGAAGAGACAAAGUAUUAGGGGCCCUCCUGUUUCCUCAACAGUACAAAUGAUUCCAGGGCAAUUACACACAGAAACCUUGAAAUGAAACGUUUCCCAAUCCAAGGGCACAACAUCUGCAGUCAAAAGGCACCACAGCCUCUCCCUUCCUGUGCAAACAGCAUCCCACAUAGGGAUUAAUCAUCCCUCCGAAAUAGCACCACUGAUUUUAGAGUGGUUGGCACCUCUCCCACCUCCUCCAGAGCAGGGAACUCGACCCUGCUUGAGUCAUCUUCCCAGGAGCUCUCUUCAAGCCUGUACUCAUCACCUCCCAGCCUUACACGAGCUGGAUGUUCCCAACAUUCCGGAGCCAGUUAAAUUCCCAUACAAGCCUCCAAAUUGGUGGCACUGGAAGAAAACACGUGAGGCUUUUCCUUCAGGGUCAGGUGACAACAACUGCACAGCUGAAAUCAGAUCCAGAGCAGCUACCAACAAAAAUUAAAGGUAACCAGUGGGCUUCCUUUAACAAGGAAAAUCCCGUUUGCAGUGGCUGAAAUUCACUCCAGAAGGGUCCCACAGCCAGCCCAGGAUGGAGCAGGCACAGAACCCCUGGCUCAUGGACUCCAGUCCCUGGGAAUGUUCCCCCCUGUGCUGGAUAAAGGCUCGAGCUCAGUUCUGCUUUAGCACAAGAGUGAAAAAUCACAUUUCUCACCCUCCUCAGGGGACUUUUCCAUAAUUAAA
Long non-coding RNA from Vidua chalybeata, 1164 nucleotides. RefSeq lists it as uncharacterized. NCBI's taxonomy places the organism in Eukaryota, Metazoa, Chordata, Aves, Passeriformes, Viduidae. The record is from RefSeq and is a predicted model, not a curated record. The transcript has 3 exons.